Non-coding RNA from Brassica napus (rape), 74 nucleotides. NCBI's taxonomy places the organism in Eukaryota, Viridiplantae, Streptophyta, Magnoliopsida, Brassicales, Brassicaceae. The record is from Rfam.
GGUGCUGUGGUGUAGUGGUUAUCACGUCUGCCUUACACGCAAAAAGGUCUCCAGUUCGAUCCUGGGCAGCACCA